AUUUUACUCCCUCCGUACGGAAAUACUUGCCAUCGAAAAAGGAUGUAUUUAGACGUAUUUUAGUUCUAGAUAUAUCUCUUUCUAUCCAUUUUGAUGAUAAGCAUUUUUGAACGGAGGGAGUACUAA
Non-coding RNA from Triticum aestivum (bread wheat), 126 nucleotides. The record is from Rfam. Lineage: Eukaryota; Viridiplantae; Streptophyta; Magnoliopsida; Poales; Poaceae.